AACGGCCAUACCAUGCUGAAUAUACCGUUUCUCGUUAAAUCACCGAAGUCAAGCAUCAUUGGGCGCGGUCAGUACUUGGGUGGGUGACCACCUGGGAACACCGCGUGCCGUU
Molecule: ribosomal RNA, 112 nt
Filed under: Caerostris extrusa
Lineage: Eukaryota; Metazoa; Arthropoda; Arachnida; Araneae; Araneidae
Source: RNAcentral